Molecule: ribosomal RNA, 440 nt
Filed under: uncultured bacterium
Lineage: Bacteria
Description: bacterial SSU rRNA
Rfam family: Bacterial small subunit ribosomal RNA
Source: RNAcentral
UGGGGAAUAUUGCGCAAUGGGCGAAAGCCUGACGCAGCGACGCCGCGUGAGGGAUGAAGGUUUUCGGAUCGUAAACCUCUGUCAGAAGGGAAGAAGUUGCAUGGGGCCAAUCACCUGUGCAUUGACGGUACCUUCAAAGGAAGCACCGGCUAACUCCGUGCCAGCAGCCGCGGUAAUACGGAGGGUGCGAGCGUUAAUCGGAAUUACUGGGCGUAAAGCGCACGUAGGCUGUAUGUCAAGUCAAGGGUGAAAUCCCACGGCUCAACCGUGGAACUGCCUUUGAAACUGGCAAACUGGAGUAUGUGAGAGGGCGGCGGAAUUCCUGGUGUAGGAGUGAAAUCCGUAGAUAUCAGGAGGAACAUCAGUGGCGAAGGCGGCCGCCUGGCACAAAACUGACGCUGAGGUGCGAAAGCGUGGGGUAGCAAACAGGAUUAGAUACC